RNAcentral lists this long non-coding RNA (4148 nucleotides) under Triticum aestivum (bread wheat). Its description in RNAcentral is "long non-coding RNA (TAES_LNC015508)". Lineage: Eukaryota; Viridiplantae; Streptophyta; Magnoliopsida; Poales; Poaceae. The record is from RNAcentral.
UAGAUAGGCCAUGUGCAUUUUACUGAACGUUACUAUACGAUGUACAUAAUACACAGACAUAAAGUUAAUACAGAGAAGUGGAUUUUGCUACAGCUCAAAUGUUCAUAGUACAAGGUGUCUCAGUUUCUUAUUCUGUUAUUUACAGAUGCAGUUAGCUAGUGUGCAAAGCGGGAGUGGCUACAGAUCAAUCGACUGCCUCAAAAAGUGGUCAGUCGAAUGUUAACAAAGGGAAAAGAUUGCAACCCAGAAAGAAAACUGACUGACCCAAAACUAUUGUCAGUCAGUCAGCCCAACAGAAAGAAAGCCUCAGAACAUUUUGUUUCUUUCUUCUGCUCUUUCUUUAGCCCAGAGAGAAAACAGGCCUGAACCCGCUAAGCUAAAGAUCCAGUUAUCGUACAGCUCACUAGGGCUUCUCCCUUGCCUCCUCUUCUUUGUUGCUCGACACCCACACAACUGCCACCAUGGGAAAAGAAAGAAAGCUCAGAUCUCCCCUUGUCUUCUGAUGUUUCUGAACAACUUGUCCAGACGAUUCUUGCUAGCAGCUACCUUCUCCUUCAAUCCACCAAACCAACAGCAGCAGAUCUACUAGAAAAAAAGGAUAAUCCUCAAUUUCAUACCCAGAUCACAGAUCUGUCAGCAGGAAAAGCAAAACGAAGGAGAAAGAAACCUGGGGAUCAAACUGGUUCUGUAGUGUUCACUGGAGGUAUAUACAUAAAUUUGUACAAAAGGCAUUUAAUCUACAUGGAUUACAGGGUUGAAUUCAUAACACUUUACCUUCAUACAACUUGCAACCUCAAAAUACUAGACUUGCACACGCUUUAUAAAGAGCAAAAAAUGAGAUACAAUCUAAAUACUAAACUUGCAUGCUCAAAAAUGCUAAAAUUGCACAUUCAUCAUAGUAAAAUUGCGGACAUUUUACAACAGCAAGACUGAUAUUACAGGACGUAGAUACAUGGACGUAGCAACACUCAAUUCACAAAAUAUAACUACAGCAAAGAAAACUAAUCCACAAGAAAAGAACUUGCAUCAUCAUCAUACUAUAUUGCGCACACUUUAUCAGAGCAAAAAAUAAAAAAUAAACACUUGAAACAAAAAUGUAAUACGAAAAAUGGAAACUACUGUAUGAAAGAAUCCAAUACUAAAUUUAGAUGUGUACAAAAUGAUACCCUAGUUUCAUCAUGUAUAAACAUUCAUAAAAUUCAGAAUUUAUAAGUAAAACUUGCACCCUCAAGAUAAUAGACUUGCACGUACUUUAUAAGAGCAAAAAUUCAUAGAGUCCAAUACUAAACUUGCAUGCUCAUCAUAGUAAACUUGCACACCUUUUACAACAACAAGACUGAUAUUAACAUUUUGAUAUCAUAAUUUAGGUGUUACUGGAUUUAAGCUACAUGGAUUACUGGAGGUAGAUACAUGGAGGUAGCAAAUCUCAAUUCAAAAAAAUAUAACUACAACAACAAAACUAAUCCACAAAACCCAAUUUUUUUUAAAAAAAAGAACUUGCAUCCUCAUCAUACUAGACUUGCACACACUUUAUCAGAGCAAAAAAAAAAUUCACAAAACCUUGAAACAAUAAUGAUAAAAUGGAAGAUGGAAACUUGUAAAGUUAAAUAUGUACAAAAUGAUAACCUAGUUUGAGGUUAACUGCAAUUUGAGUGGUUAUACUAAAUCUUGAAUGGUUAUACUAAAGCAAACAAAAUGAUAAAAUGCGGACAUUUUAUGACAAUUAUAACUACAGCAAACAUAACUGCAUACACACACUGAAAAAAAACAUUUGAGUGGUUAUACUAAAUCUUGCACGCUAUUAACAACAGCAAGCAAUCACAAACUGUAUGAGUUGAUCCAUAAAAUUCAAAAUUUACAAGUAAAACUUGUAUCCUCAUAAUACCAGACUUGCACACAAAGAGCAACCUUCAUAUAGAAUCCAAAAACUAAACUUGCACAUUUAUUACAGUAAAAUUGCACACAUUUUACAACAGCAAGACUGAUAUAAACCUUGUUGAUAUCGUAAUUUAGAGUUUUCUGGAGGUAGAUACAUUGAUUUAUACAAACAGCAUGUAACCUACAUGGAUUACAGGGAAGCUAACUCAAUUGACAACUAUAACUACAACAACAGAACUAAUUCAUAAAAUUCAAAAUUUACAAAUGAAACUUGUAUCCUCAUAAAUAGUAGAGUUGCACACACUUUAUUAAAAAGAGUAAAUUUAUAUAGAAAAACCAGCAAACGCACAUUAAAAAACAAAAUCACGAAAAUCAAUGUUCCAUAAAAAAAUACACAUUCAUCAGACUGAACUUGCACACAUUUUACAACAACAAAAAAACUGAGGUUUACUGGUGGUAGAUACAAUUAUUUGAACAAAAAUGUAUUUGAAUUACAUGAAUUACUGGAGUUAGAUACAUGGACGUAGCUAACUAAUUUACAAAAAUAACUAUAGCAACAAAACUAAUUCAUAAAACUCAAAUUUUUGAAAAAGAAAACUUGCAUCCUCACAAUACUAAACUUGCACACACUAUAUGAGAGCAAACAAAUCACAAAAACCUUGCAAAGAAUCCAAUACUAAAAUUAAAUGUGUACAAAAAUAAUAUCCUAGUUUGAGGUUAACUGCAUGUAUAAACAUUGAAUUCAACAAAAGGAAUUACAUUAACUACACAACACGAUGAAUUGACAAAAACAUAAAAUCAUUAAACUACUAAAACUAAAAAAUUUGCAACCUCAUACAAGGGGAUAAGAAAAAUAAAGAAUGUAAAUGGAUAAGAAACUCACCAUCCUCCUAGAGCAAUAUUCAUCAAGGACGACGUCGAAAACUUCAGGGACUUCAUCGGCUGGCACAAACAGAAAGCAUGGAGCACCAGGACAACAACAAACAGGGCAAACCAUACCUAUACUAAAAAAACAUAGGGUUAUUCUACAUGGAUAACUUAAAAAAAGAUCUAAAAUAAACACGCUCCCUAAAAAAUUAAAUCUAAACAACUUGCAUCUCUAAGCAACUAGACUUGCAUAAACUAUUCAGAUAUCAAUGGGGAACCAUACAUGAACUAGACUUGCAUAAACAAUUCAGAUAUCAAAGGUGGGGGGAGCAUUGUGGUUACGAACCGUAACCUGCAUUUGACUUAACAAAUGAACAUACUAACCAUACACACAAAGAAUAUAACAUUUACUUAAUAACCCUAAGAAAUUGGCUAGCAAGCUCAAACACUAGGGCUGCAAGGCGGCACCCCGAGCCAUUCUGCUCCGAAUUGAAGAUGAGGCAGGCUCAGAUGUAGCCAACCUGAUGUCGUUCUAGCUUAAUUUCGGCUAACUCAACAUUAUGGCAGACACUGAAAAGACACCACUCCACACCGAUAUUAAGAUUAAUGAGUUCUAAAUCAACAAAAGAACAUAUAUCACCUGCAAAAAAAAAGAACAUAUAUAAAACCUAGAAGCACAUGACCUUCAAUCUGCAUCAGAAAAUAACAAAUGUACACAAAAAAGGUAGGAUCUUUGAAGAGGUAGAAGACUCACUCCACAUCUAAAAGAUCCUUAAAACUUGGUACUUGCACUACCACCAAACAAACAAAAAAUAUAGCAAACCUAAAGACUACAAAACCACCUACAGAACCAUCAAAUAAAAUACACGUACGAUUUGAAUCCAUCCUAAACAGUACAAAAAAAACAUAAUUAAAUCACAAUAUAACAAAGAACCCUAGAAAACUACUCUCACUGCCACCGUAAACAUUACAGUAAUGAGAUCAAGCAAAAGAAAAAACCUAGAGGGAGAAGUAUAAGCAGAAGCUGCAGAUCUAGCAAGAACAUCCACAAACCCUGGCUCUCGCAGGCACAGCAAAACACACUAUGCAAAACAUUACAAUAGAGAGAUUAAGUAAAAGAAAAUACCUGAAGAAGGGGAUAGAUGUAGCAGAACUAAUCCGUCUGCCAAGGAUCCCCUGAUUCCCAAAUCCCGCGAACAGAAAAAAGCACAAAAAGCACUUUAGAAAAGCAUAAGAACAACCACAGGGAUAAGAAUAAGCAGAGGGAGCAGAUCUAGCAAGAACAUCCAUUAACCCCAACUAUCGGUAGGGAGAGGAGAAGACACACCGGACUGAAGCAGAGGCGCAAGUGACUGAUAGGAAGCGAGGGGAAAGGGGAUAAGACGAGGAGAGCAGCGACGGUC